This 331-nucleotide unclassified non-coding RNA is filed under the name soil metagenome. RNAcentral's name for it is "partial contains 5.8S ribosomal RNA, internal transcribed spacer 2, and large subunit ribosomal RNA". The stretch from base 1 to 120 matches the Rfam family "5.8S ribosomal RNA", at positions 35 to 154 of the family's 154-position model. The record is from RNAcentral.
GAUGAAGAACGUAGCGAAAUGCGAUAAGUAAUGUGAAUUGCAGAAUUCAGUGAAUCAUCGAAUCUUUGAACGCACAUUGCGCCCCCUGGUAUUCCGGGGGGCAUGCCUGUUCGAGCGUCAUUUCACCACUCAAGCCUCGCUUGGUAUUGGGCAACGCGGUCCGCCGCGUGCCUCAAAUCGUCCGGCUGGGUCUUCUGUCCCCUAAGCGUUGUGGAAACUAUUCGCUAAAGGGUGUUCGGGAGGCUACGCCGUAAAACAACCCCAUUUCUAAGGUUAACCUCGGAUCAGGUAGGGAUACCCGCUGAACUUAAGCAUAUCAAUAAGCGGAGGA